ACCAUAUGAGAAAGGGGACCGGCUAACUACGUGCCAGCAGCCGCGGUAAUACGUAGGUCCCGAGCGUUAUCCGGAAAUUAUUGGGCGUAAAGGGCGCGCAGGUGGCUACUUAAGUCUGGUGUGAAAUUUUUAGGCUUAACCUAAAAAGGUCAUUGGAAACUGAGUAACUUGAGAGCAGGAGAGGUAAGUGGAAUUCCUAGUGUAGCGGUGAAAUGCGUAGAGAUUAGGAGGAACACCAGUGGCGAAGGCGGCUUACUGGACUGCAUCUGACACUGAGGCGCGAAAGCGUGGGUAGCAAACAGGAUUAGAUACCCUGGUAGUCCACGCCGUAAACGAUGAGUGCUAAGUGUUGCGAGUCAAAUCGCAGUGCUGAAGUUAACGCAAUAAGCACUCCGCCUGGGGAGUACGACCGCAAGGUUGAAACUCAAACGAAUUGACGGGGACCCGCACAAGCGGUGGAGCAUGUGGUUUAAUUCGAAGCAACGCGAAGAACCUUACCAGGGUUUGACAUACCAAUGAUAUUUCUAGAGAUAGAGAGUUCCUUCGGGACAUUGGAUACAGGUGGUGCAUGGUUGUCGUCAGCUCGUGUCGUGAGAUGUUGGGUUAAGUCCCGCAACGAGCGCAACCCUUACCGUUAGUUGCCAUCAUUAAGUUGGGUACUUUAACGAGACUGCCAGUGAUAAACUGGAGGAAGGCGGGGAUGAGGUCAAAUCAUCAUGCCCCUUAUACCCUGGGCUACACACGUGCUACAAUGGUCGGUACAAAGAGAAGCGAAGCUGUGAAGUGAAGCAAACCUCAUAAAGCCGAUCUCAGUUCGGAUUGUAGUCUGCGACUCGACUACAUGAAGAUGGAAUCGCUAGUAAUCGUGGAUCAGCAUGCCACGAUGAAUACGUUCCCGGGUCUUGUACACACCGCCCGUCACACCACGAGAGUUUAUAACACCCGAAGUCAGUGGGCUAACCUCGCAAGAGGGGGCAGCUGCCUAAGGUGGGAUAGAUGAUUGGGGUG
This 1008-nucleotide ribosomal RNA is filed under the name uncultured bacterium. RNAcentral describes it as "bacterial SSU rRNA". It matches the Rfam family "Bacterial small subunit ribosomal RNA", at positions 477 to 1482 of the family's 1533-position model. The record is from RNAcentral.